This 525-nucleotide long non-coding RNA is filed under the name Brassica rapa (field mustard). RNAcentral's name for it is "long non-coding RNA (BRAP_LNC003281)". The record is from RNAcentral. Lineage: Eukaryota; Viridiplantae; Streptophyta; Magnoliopsida; Brassicales; Brassicaceae.
CAUUAUAUAUAAUUUCAAAAAUAAUAAAUAUAUGUAAACAUACAACAUAAAAAAUAGAAAUACUACAUUAAACAUAUGUAAGAUUACCAUUUUACAUUUUUAUUUAAAAAUAAUAAUAUGUAAACAUACAACAUAAAAAAUGGAAAAACUACAUUAAUUAAACAUAUGUAAGAUUACCAUUUUUCACUAAAAAAAGACGGCUUAUCUCCAUAAUGUAAUAUUAGUAAAAAAACAUUAUAUAUAAUUUCGAAAAUAAUAAAUAAUAUGUAAACAUACAACAUAAAAAUGGAAAUACUACAUUAAACAUAUGUAAGAUUACCAUUUUACAUUUAAAAAUAACAAUAAUAUGUAAACACUCAACAUAAAAAAAAUAGAAAAACUACAUUAAACAUAUGUAAGAUUACAAUUUUCACUAAAAAAACGGCUUAUCUCCAUAAUGUAACAUUACCAUUAUAUAAAAAAAGAAAAAAAACAUAAAUAUAACUAUUUGACUAUUUGUCCAAGUUCUUCUAUUAAACCUUUCCG